CGUGUCGUGAGAUGUUGGGUUAAGUCCCGCAACGAGCGCAACCCUUGUCCCUAGUUGCUACGCAAGAGCACUCUAGGGAGACUGCCGGUGACAAACCGGAGGAAGGUGGGGAUGACGUCAAGUCCUCAUGGCCCUUAUGGGUAGGGCUUCACACGUCAUACAAUGGUCGGAACAGAGGGUCGCCAACCCGCGAGGGGGAGCCAAUCCCAGAAAACCGAUCGUAGUCCGGAUCGCACUCUGCAACUCGAGUGCGUGAAGCUGGAAUCGCUAGUAAUCGCGGAUCAGCAUGCCGCGGUGAAUACGUUCCCGGGUCUU
RNAcentral lists this ribosomal RNA (315 nucleotides) under uncultured bacterium. Its description in RNAcentral is "bacterial SSU rRNA". It matches the Rfam family "Bacterial small subunit ribosomal RNA", at positions 1061 to 1382 of the family's 1533-position model. The record is from RNAcentral.